Molecule: unclassified non-coding RNA, 186 nt
Filed under: uncultured Ascomycota
Lineage: Eukaryota; Fungi; Ascomycota
Description: sequence contains ITS1
Source: RNAcentral
CCGAGUUAGGGUCUCUCAGGCCCCAUCUCCCAACCCUUGUGUUUAACUAUACCACGUUGCUUCGGCGGGCCCGUCUGUAGACCGCCGGGCAGUCUUCGACUGUCUGGCCCGUUGCCCGUCGACAGCCCCCAACCCCAAACUCUUGUUAAAACAUGUCGUCUGAGUACAAACCAAAAAAUUAAAUUA